GUGAAGCCCCCCUCAAGAUGAGAUAUCCAGACUCGAAAGAGUGAGAGACCCCUUAGAGACGAUGAGGUAGAUAGGGCAGAGAUGGAAGCACAGUGAUGUGUGGAGUUGACUGUUACUAAUCGGUCGAGAGCUUGACCUUA
This 140-nucleotide ribosomal RNA is filed under the name Anaerobutyricum soehngenii. RNAcentral's name for it is "partial 23S ribosomal RNA". It matches the Rfam family "Bacterial large subunit ribosomal RNA", at positions 2787 to 2925 of the family's 2925-position model. Lineage: Bacteria; Bacillati; Bacillota; Clostridia; Lachnospirales; Lachnospiraceae. The record is from RNAcentral.